This 295-nucleotide non-coding RNA is filed under the name Pan troglodytes (chimpanzee). The record is from RNAcentral. Lineage: Eukaryota; Metazoa; Chordata; Mammalia; Primates; Hominidae. RNAcentral also lists the same sequence under 1 other name.
AUUGAAGAUGGAGGCAAGGCAGCUUUGUCCCAGAAGAUGAGGACUGGUGAUGAGCUGGUGAAUAUCAAUGGCACUCCAUUAUAUGGCUCCCGCCAAGAGGCCCUCAUUCUCAUCAAAGGCUCCUUCCGGAUUCUCAAGCUGAUUGUCAGGAGACUAAGUUUGCUGGCCCCUGGUAUAAAGCAUUCUCCAAAAAGAAGACCUUGAGGCUCUCUCUAAAGCUUAAAAAGACUGAAAGAGAACCAUCGUAGUCUACAAGUGAGAAUGAAUAAAAAAAUCACAGAAUAUUUAAGCCAAC